Molecule: long non-coding RNA, 2312 nt
Filed under: Sarcophilus harrisii (Tasmanian devil)
Lineage: Eukaryota; Metazoa; Chordata; Mammalia; Dasyuromorphia; Dasyuridae
Description: lncRNA (ENSSHAG00000028277.1)
Source: RNAcentral
GAAAAGAGCUGGUGUCUGUGUAAGUAAAGAGAAAGGGAUCUAUAUGAGAGAUAUUGUGAAGGUAGAAAUUGCAAGAUUUGGUGAUGGAUUGGAUACACUGAAUGAGUGAAUAUGAGGAAUUGAGAAUUAUUUUGGUGGAAGAACAUGACCUAAAGACUUGGACAACAUUGAAUUUUCUCCUUGGUCUUACUGGAUGGUUCUUCCUCCUUGGGGAUUCCCUCUGAAACUGGCUUCCACCCUAUAGCCUGGAUUGCCCCCAGUCACCUACAGGCACAUGACAUUUUACUUCUCUAACUUUGACUGGCAUUUGGAUGAUCAUGGAUUGUGGGACAUGGUGGAACCCUACACCUCUACCUCAACUUUUUCUAACUUGAAAUAUGGGCACCGUUCCAGACACCACAUAGACCACUGGACUAAUAAAUGGAAGAAAAGAUUGAAAAUGCUUGGAAAUGGGGCUAUUUUUCCUGUAAAAAAAACUCUAGGCAUCUGCCCAUUGUUCUCUCUUCUGAGUCUCUGACAUUGUGAAUUCUCAGAUUUUUCAAAAACUGACUUGUCUCAGAACCUCAGCAGCCACUAAGAGAACAAUUGGGACAGUUUGUCCGGGUCUGUAUUAAGUCUGAGUGUCCAGGAAUUGUGUUCACACUGGCAUUUGGAAGCUAGAUGACACACUGCGCAGGAAUAUACAAUCCUGGGGGCAAGGCAAAACUAGGACACUAUUGAAGAAUGUUAAAGGAGGCAAAGUUGGGCAAAAGCUGAAGAAAAUUGGGUCAGCUAAAAUACACGAGGUGACCAUUCUUCAGGAGUCCCAUGGCCCACAUAGAUCCAUAUAUCUGCAAGGGAGUGAGCAUAAGAUGAGCAGGAACCUCAAAGCAGCCCCAAGGCAGAAAUUUGGUGGUCUAAGGGAUCUCCCAAGAUUUACAAGUUUACUCCUAUGUUCUGUUCCCACUUACUCAUAAUCCAGAUAAGUGUUAGCACGUGUCCUAGUGACCUCUGCAACCCUAAUUCUAUUAAAAUGGAUACCUACAUGGUUUCUUCAUAUCCAGCCUCUCUUUUCCAUAGUCCAUCCUCCAAAACUGCCAAAAUGAUGAUCUUAAAAUCCAAACUAUCUCACAACUAAACUUAAGAAACUUCAAUGACACUGUAUUAUCUCUAGGAUAGCAUAGACAUUCAAAGCUCUUCACUGGCUAUCUCUAGUUUGUCUAGUUAUUUCUAGUUUAUUUAGUUUAUUUCCCUUCCUCUGGAGUAUUUUGCAACUUCUGGAGAUGGUUGUCUGAACAGAGGAUUAUUCCCUUAUAACUGUCAGUAUAGUCAGAACUAAUGAAAGAGAAAUAAACUCACAGUUAGUGCCAUCAGACAGUAGAAACCUACUCUUUAAAGGUGCUCUAAAUCACUAUUGAUCAGAGGAAUUCAAAUUAAGACAACUCUGAGAGACCACUACACACUUCUCAGAUUGGCUAAGAUGACAGGAAAAGAUAAUGACCAAUGUUGGAGGGGACAUGGGGAAACUGGGACAUUGAUACAUUGUUGGUGGAACUAUUAACGGAUCCAACCAUUCUGGAGAAUAAUUUGGAACUAUGCUCAAAAUGUUAGCAAACUGUGCAUACCCUUUGAUUCAGCAGUGUUUCUAGUGGGCUUAUAACCCAAAGAGAUCUUAAAGGAGGCAAAGGGGCCCACAUAUACAAAAGUGUUUAUGGCAGCUUUUUUUUGUAGUGGCCAGAAACUGGAAACUGAGUGGAUGCCCAUCAGUUGGAGAAUGGCUGAAUAGGUUAUGGUCUAUGUAUGUUAUGGAAUAUUAUUGUUCUGUAAGAAAAGACCAGCAGGACGAUUUCAGAAAGGCCUGGAGAGACCUGAACUGAUGCUGAGUGAAAUGAGCAGAACCAGGAGAUCAUUAUACACUUCAACAACAAGAUUAUAUGAUGAUCAGUUCUGAUGGAUGCGACUCUUUCCAACAAUGAGAUGAUUGAGACCAGUUUCAAUGAUCUUGUGAUGGAAAGAGCCAUCUACACCAGAGAAAGAACUGUGGGAACUGACUGUGGACCAUGACAUCGCAUUCUCAUUCUUUUUGAUGUAGUUCACUUGCAUUUUGUCUUCUUUCUCAUUUUUUUUCCUUUUUGAUUUGAUUUUUCUUGUGCAAAAGAUCAUUGUAUAAAUAUGUAAACAUAUAUUAGAUUUAGCAUAUAUUUUAAUAUGUUUAACAUAUAUUGGAUUACCUGCCAUGUAGGAGAGAAGAUGGGAGGAAGGAGGUUUUGCAAGGAUUAGUGUUGAAAAAUUAUUCAUGCAUAGGUUUUGAAAAUAAAAUGCUUUAAUAAAAA